RNAcentral lists this ribosomal RNA (939 nucleotides) under Triticum aestivum (bread wheat). Its description in RNAcentral is "partial small subunit ribosomal RNA". The record is from RNAcentral. Lineage: Eukaryota; Viridiplantae; Streptophyta; Magnoliopsida; Poales; Poaceae.
AUGCUCAGAUUACUAAUACAUAGAUGUAAUAUAGCAAGAAGUUUGAAAGCCAGUUCAGAGAGCCUCUUUCGCUACUACGACAACGUAGUCACCGUCUUCAUCAAAAUCUCUUCCCUCAGGGUUGAGUCUAUCCAUCUCUGGGAGAUGGUCAUACCCAUCUUCUUCUCCAACACGCUCAUCGGCACCAUGAUCAUCAUGCUUUAUUGGCGACAUGACAGGAACAGUAACAUCCUCAAAGUAUUUAGAUUCAGACUUCAGCAGUGGCUUGUCAGGGAUGGUUUUCUCCUUGAAGAGUUCAUCAGUGCCACUGUUGCGCGUUAUUGGCGACAAGUCAGGAAUGACGUCCUCCUCAAAGCAUCCAGACCCGCAUUUCAGCGGCGACAUGUCAGGGAUGAUUUCCUCCUUGAUGGGUUCACCCACAGCACCGGCGCCGCCUUCAGUCUCACACUUCUUUGCCGGCGACAUGCCAGGAUUGACGACUUCCUCGAAGCAUUCAGAGUCACACUUCAGCAGCGAUAUCUCAGGCAUGACUUCCUCCUCAGAGAGUUCAUGCUCAUCAGCACCACUGGUGCCAUCUUCAGGUUCACACUUCACCGGCGACAUGUCAGGAACGAUGUUGGGCAACGGCACGUCGGGGAUGGCUUCAGCAGAGACAUCAUCUGCGCCGUUGCCAUCUUCAAGUUCGCUCUUCACCGGGCACAUGUCAGCGAAGAGCCCCCCAAAGGGCAAUUCGGAAUCGGACAUCACCAGCAGUGGCUCGCCAGGGAUGCUUUUGACAUCAGGCUUGGCCUCAAGAGGCCCCAUCUGAUGGAUAGUUGGUUCAUCUUCUUCAAUCUUCAAAGGGUUAUCCAAGCGAUCACCAGCGAUGCGUCCAUGCAGGCCGCCAUUACUGUUGGCGCGUCCAUCCAAAGUUUCUGCGGAAUGCUCCGACCAAUCUAA